This 498-nucleotide ribosomal RNA is filed under the name uncultured bacterium. RNAcentral describes it as "partial 16S ribosomal RNA". It matches the Rfam family "Bacterial small subunit ribosomal RNA", at positions 30 to 523 of the family's 1533-position model. The record is from RNAcentral.
AUUGAACGCUGGCGGCAUGCCUUACACAUGCAAGUCGAACGGUAACAGGUCUUCGGAUGCUGACGAGUGGCGAACGGGUGAGUAAUACAUCGGAACGUGCCUAGUAGUGGGGGAUAACUACUCGAAAGAGUGGCUAAUACCGCAUGAGAUCCACGGAUGAAAGCAGGGGAUCGCAAGACCUUGUGCUACUAGAGCGGCCGAUGGCAGAUUAGGUAGUUGGUGGGAUAAAAGCUUACCAAGCCGACGAUCUGUAGCUGGUCUGAGAGGACGAUCAGCCACACUGGGACUGAGACACGGCCCAGACUCCUACGGGAGGCAGCAGUGGGAAAUUUUGGAUAAUGGGCGCAAGCCUGAUCCAGCAAUGCCGCGUGCAGGAUGAAGGCCUUCGGGUUGUAAACUGCUUUUGUACGGAACGAAAAGCCCCGGGUUAAUACCCUGGGGUCAUGACGGUACCGUAAGAAUAAGCACCGGCUAACUACGUGCCAGCCGCCGCCGUAA